ACAGGCUGUUGCACCUCAGAUCUGCUUGAUUAACUCUGAAUCUCUUAAAGGGAAGUGAAAGACUGAUAGAGCUGUUUUUAAGAAGAAUGAAACUCUCUCUCUCUCUCUCUCUCUCUCUCUCUCUCUCUCUCUCUCUCUCUUUAGCUGCCGCUCGUCCCACUCUCACGGUCCUGCCGCCCUCCAGAGACGAGCUGCAGCAGGGUAAGGCUACAGUGGUGUGUGUGGGCAGUAAGGGAUUCCCCUCUGACUGGAAGCUGAGCUGGAAGGUGGAUGGCAGCAGCAGGAGCUCUGCUGUGAAUCUGAGUCCCAGUGUGCUGCAGAAGGAUGGACUGUACAGCUGGAGCAGCAGCCUGAGCCUCACUGAGAGUGAGUGGAGCAGAGCAACAACCAUCAGCUGUGACGCCACGCACCCAUCCCAGAAUGCAGUGACCGAGAGCCUGAACACACAGCAGUGUGAUGACCACUGAAACACACACACACACACACACAUCACAUAAAGACAUA
This is a non-coding RNA of Megalobrama amblycephala (Wuchang bream), 504 nucleotides long. NCBI's taxonomy places the organism in Eukaryota, Metazoa, Chordata, Actinopteri, Cypriniformes, Xenocyprididae. The record is from the annotation of a RefSeq genome assembly.